GAUGAACGCUGGCGGCGUGCCUAAUACAUGCAAGUCGAGCGAACAGAUAAGGAGCUUGCUCCUUUGACGUUAGCGGCGGACGGGUGAGUAACACGUGGGUAACCUACCUAUAAGACUGGAAUAACUCCUGGAAACCGGGGCUAAUGCCGGAUAACAUUUAGAACCGCAUGGUUCUAAAGUGAAAGAUGGUUUUGCUAUCACUUAUAGAUGGACCCGCGCCGUAUUAGCUAGUUGGUAAGGUAACGGCUUACCAAGGCAACGAUACGUAGCCGACCUGAGAGGGUGAUCGGCCACACUGGAACUGAGACACGGUCCAGACUCCUACGGGAGGCAGCAGUAGGGAAUCUUCCGCAAUGGGCGAAAGCCUGACGGAGCAACGCCGCGUGAGUGAUGAAGGUCUUCGGAUCGUAAAACUCUGUUAUUAGGGAAGAACAAAUGUGUAAGUAACUGUGCACGUCUUGACGGUACCUAAUCAGAAAGCCACGGCUAACUACGUG
RNAcentral lists this ribosomal RNA (497 nucleotides) under uncultured bacterium. RNAcentral's name for it is "partial 16S ribosomal RNA". It matches the Rfam family "Bacterial small subunit ribosomal RNA", at positions 28 to 507 of the family's 1533-position model. The record is from RNAcentral.